UGAGUACGAGCUGCUACGGCAGCGAAGUGGGUGAUGUCAAGCUUCCAAGAAAAGCCCUAUACCCGUUAAGGCAUGAUGGCCUGUACCCGAAACCGACACAGGUGGGGUGGUAGAGAAUACCGAGGGGCGCGAGGUAACUCUCUCUAAGGAACUCGGCAAAAUGGCCCCGUAACUUCGGGAGAAGGGGUGCCACCGCAAGGUGGUCGCAGUGAAGAGGCCCAGGCGACUGUUUACCAAAAACACAGGUCUCCGCUAAGUCGCAAGACGAUGUAUGGGGGCUGACGCCUGCCCAGUGCCGGAAGGUUAAGGAAGCUGGUCAGCGCAAGCGAAGCUGGCGACUGAAGCCCCGGUGAACGGCGGCCGUAACUAUAACGGUCCUAAGGUAGCGAAAUUCCUUGUCGGGUAAGUUCCGACCCGCACGAAAAGGCGUAACGAUCUGGGCGCUGUCUCGGAGAGAGGCUCGGCGAAAUAGAAUUGUCUGUGAAGAUGCGGACUACGUGCACCCGGACAGAAAGACCCUAUGAAGCUUUACUGUAGCUUGGUAUUGUGCCCGGGCUCUGAAUGCGCAGGAUAGGUGGGAGGCUUUGAUCCAUUGCUUGUGGGUGAUGGUGAGCCACUGGUGAGAUACCACUCUUUCAGAGCUAGGGUUCUAACGGUCACCCGUUAUCCGGGGACCGGACAGUAUCAGGUGGGCAGUUUGACUGGGGCGGUCGCCACCUAAAAGGUAACGGAGGCGCGCAAAGUUUCCCUCAGGCUGGUUGGAAAUCAGCCGACGAGUGUAAAGGCAGAAGGGAGCUUGACUGUGAGACCUACAAGUCGAACAGGGACGAAAGUCGGCCUUAGUGAUCCGACGGUUCUGAGUGGAAGGGCCGUCGUUCAACGGAUAAAAGUUACUCUAAGGAUAACAGGCUGAUCUCCCCCAAGAGUUCACAUCGACGGGGAGGUUUGGCACCUCGAUGUCGGCUCAUCGCAACCUGGGGCUGAAGUCGGUCCCAAGGGUUGGGCUGUUCGCCCAUUAAAGCGGUACGCGAGCUGGGUUCAGAACGUCGUGAGACAGUUCGGUCCAUAUCCGGUGCACGCGCAGGAACAUUGAGAGGAUUUCUCCCUAGUACGAGAGGACCGGGAGGAACGCACCUCUGGUGUACCAGUUAUCGUGCCAACGGUAAACGCUGGGUAGCCAUGUGCGGAGUGGAUAACCGCUGAAAGCAUCUAAGUGGGAAGCCCACCUCAAGAUGAGUGUUCCCAUGGCAUAAGCCAGUAAGGUCACGGGAAGAACACCCGUUGAUAGGCUCUACGUGGAAGCGUGGCAACACGUGAAGCGGAGGAGUACUAAUAGACCGAGGGCUUGACCGG
Molecule: ribosomal RNA, 1353 nt
Filed under: metagenome
Description: bacterial LSU rRNA
Rfam family: Bacterial large subunit ribosomal RNA
Source: RNAcentral